Molecule: long non-coding RNA, 3959 nt
Filed under: Salmo salar (Atlantic salmon)
Lineage: Eukaryota; Metazoa; Chordata; Actinopteri; Salmoniformes; Salmonidae
Description: lncRNA (ENSSSAG00000099393.1)
Source: RNAcentral
CGGCAACAAGCUGUCUUUGUUUUUUUGCGGAUUUGGAACAACUGUACUGUGACUGAGGCCGGCAUUGCGUAUAGUUCAGAUGGUAGCAUUAGGGCAAUUGAUGAUGAUAAUGAUGAUAAAACAAGUAGUGAUCAGCCAUUUACAAAUGAGGGUGAUGGAGGGAUGAAUACUGCUGGGGAAACAAUGAGUAUUGUUGAGAGUAGACCUGUAAAGGACCACUCUAGACAAAGAGGUUGGAGUACAACGUUAUCAAGUUAUGGUAGUGCUCCCAGAACCAGCAAACGGUCGCAUGCGGUUGGACACAUGGAGGAGAGAAUCAUUUUCGCAGGAUCCUCAAAACCGUGUCUUUUUGACACAACUGCUGACAGCUACAUUGACAUAAACACAAAAAAUGCUGCUUGGAGACAAGUGUCCACGAUAGUAGGAUUGCCAGAAGAAGACUGUAGGAGGAAGUGGAGAGGACUCGGGGACAGGUAUCAGAGAGAGAGAAGGGCAGAAAAAGAGAAGAAGAGGUCUGGGUCAGCAGCUUCAGGCCAGCAGCCUUGGUGCUUCUGUCACAUUCUUUCUUUUCAGGAUCCAUUUAUUGUGCCUAGUGCAACCGGUGGCAAUUUUACAGCCAGACCCUUUACUUCAUCCACAAGUGUGGGCGCCACCGGUGCAUCCAGACCCUCUACGUCAUUUACAAGUGAGACCACCGCCUCCACGGGUGCAGCGAGACCCUCUACAUCAUCCACAAGUAUGACCACCACCGGUGCAGCCACGGAAGAUGAUGAAAUGGAGGAAGCACGUCUGGAUCUAGGACCACUUGAGAUUAUUAUGACCCUCAAGGAAGUGACCACUGAGGACCUUGAACAGGAUGUGGCCGUGGAGACAAACGAGGAGAGAAACAUGGAGAAAUGAAGAGGAACAACGUCACACCAGGCACUAUCGGAGGGGGCUCUUCAAAGAGCUGUUUCACUCCACGGCAUACUGCCAUGGGACUUCACCUGCUGGCGCUGAGAAGUUGGUGGUCAGCUUCUCCCUCACCUGGAGUGCCUGUUUGGGGGCGUUGUUGGCACCUGCCCUGGUGACAUCAGGAAGGUGACCAUUUGGCGUGCCUGUCUCCAUCCGGUGCGGCUCCUGGAAUGACCUCUGCAGGUAGUUGUGGAGAACACAUGUUGCCGUCACGCAGGCAUCGACAUUUGAGGGGCUGAGACCAAGCACUCUCCGAUACAUUCUCCACCGGGCUGUCAGAAUCCAACAGGCGCAUUCAACAGCUAACCUUGCCCUGGAUAGUUGUUUCUUAAAUUCCUCUCGAAAUAGUCGAAGCUCUUGAAUGAGACGGUGGAACUGCUUUCGGGACUUCAACCAUCUCUAGCACCACACAGACCUGCGCUUUCGGCGGGGCUGGUCCCAGUCCAACUGCGCGAUCAAAACCACCUUUCUCAGCGUUGGUCUCAUUGUUGAAAGAGCCUACUCUCUAUCUUGACCAUUUAUUAUUACAUUUUGCUCCAAAACUAUGCAUUUUGGAGGGAAAUUAUAUUAUAGGCUCUCACAAUAAAUGUUUAUAUGUCAUCGAAUAAAUAAUAUGUAUGCUACUAGGCAAAUAAAUUAAUACAAAUAUGUAAAGAAACUAUGCAAACUGUUUUUAUUAUAUAAUCCCACAUUUUUUUACUGGAUAUGUUUGCAACAAAAAUUUGACACUCACAUGUUGCUACUUUCUGUCAAGUCUACUCAUACAAUUUGAUGCAUGCGUUCGAUAAAUGGAACGUAUGCUGUCUGACUGAGAAAGCAGUCGAUAUUCUGAUCCAGUUUGGCACCACAUAACUAUAUGAGUCAGGGUUCUCAUCUCUGACAUACUUAAAAAACAAGUACAGAAACGGUGUCAAUGCUGAGUAUGACAUCAGUCUGUGUAUUUUCUGGUCUACAUCUGUGUGAUGUGAUCAAUCAGUUUAUUCUAGUUCAGAAUUAAAAAUAUGUGUUGUAUUUUAACAGCAACAGUUCUAACCUAGACUUUCUUUUUUAAAAUAAUUUAUACGGUAAGAUGUACAGUAGGCCUGAUAAUUUUACAUCUGUAUUGUUAGGGUUGCACUAUCAAAAAGCCUGUGUGUGUGUUCUGUUACUCAUCUGUGUGAUGUGAUCAAUCAGUUUAUUCCAGUUCAGAAUGAAAAUGAUUUAUUGUAUUUUAACAGCAACAGUUCCAACCUAGACAGAUAUGUAAGAGUGUAUUUAAUGGUGGAAAAGAAAUGUGAAUAUAUAUUUAUAUGAAUAUUUAAUUUCAUUGUUAUUUAUUCUUGUCUAUAUUGUAUUUGUUUUAGGGAUAAGGACAAUGAAAUGUACCGAUAUUUACACUACGGUUCAAAAGUUUGGGGUCACUUAGAAAUGUCCUUGUUUUUGAAAGAAAAGCUAGUUUGAGAAACAGACGCCUCAAGUCCUCAACUGGCAGCUUCAUUAAAUAGUACCCGCAAAACACCAGUCUCAAUGUCAACAGUGAAGAGGCGACUCCGGGAUGCUGGCCUUCUAGGCAGAGUUGCAAAGAAAAAGCUAUAUCUCAGACUGACCAAUACAAAUAAAAGAUUAAGAUGGGCAAAAUAACACAGACACUGGACAGAGGAACUCUGCCUAGAAGGCCAGCAUACCGGAGUCGCCUCUUCACUGUUGACGUUGAGACUGGUAUUUUGCGGGUACUAUUUAAUGAAGCUGCCAGUUGAGGACUUGUGAGGCAUCUGUUUCUCAAACUAGACACUCUAAUGUACUUGUCCUCUUGCUCAGUUGUGCACCAGGGCCUCCCAUUCCUCUUUCUAUUCUGGUUAGGGCCAGUUUGCGCUGUUCUGUGAAGGGAGUAGUACACAGCGUUGUACAAGAUCUUCAGUUUCUUGGCAAUUUCUCGCAUGGAAUAGCCUUAAGUUCUCAGAACAAGAAUAGACUGAUGCAUUUCAGAAGGAAGUUCUUUGUUUCUGGCCAUUUUGAGCCUGUAAUCGAACCCACAAAUGCUGAUGCUCCAGAUACUCAACUAGUCUAAAGAAGGCCAGUUUUAUUGCUUCUUUAAUCAGAACAACAGUUUUCAGCUGUGCUAACAUAAUUACAAAAGGGUUUUCUAAUGAUCAAUUAGCCUUUUAAAAUUAUAAACUUGGAUUAGCUAACACAACGUGCCAUUGGAACACAGGAGUGAUGGUUGCUGAUAAUGGGCCUGUGUACGCCUAUGUAGAUAUUCCACAAAAAAUCUGCCUUUUCCAGCUACAAUAGUUAUUUACAACAUUAACAAUGUCUACACUGUAUUUCUGAUCAAUUUUAUGUUAUUUUAAUGGACAAAAAAAUAUGUUUUUCUUUCAAAAACAAGGACAUUUCUAAGUGGCCCCAAACGUUUGAACAGUAGUGUACGUAGAGUUGCGUAUUUUCCUAAGCUUUGGUCCCAGGAAAAACAUUUCUAAUUUGGGUCCCAGGCUGAAAAGGUUUAAGAGUACGUGCCACCUCUACUUCUGUGCUUUAAGUGCCAAUGGAUGGGGCAUGUUGCUAAUGUGUGCAAAGGUAAAAUGAGAUGUGCAAAGUGUGUUGGGGAUCACUAGUAUGGGAAAUGUGGGACUGAUGCUAAAGUUAAAUGUUGUAACUGCGACAGAGAACAUGCAGUAUAUGGAGGAUGUGACGUACAACUCAAAGCCAUGGAAGCGCAGAGGUACAAAUUUACUAACAAUGUAUCCUAUGCUGAGGCUCUUCGGAAAGUGAAUAACGAACCUAGUGUUCAAAAUACUCCAGAUACAACAUAUCGGCAGAUAGUGGCUGCUCCAAGGACGUCAGUGGAACCUCUGCCGAUUGUUAAUGUGAUAUGCGAGCAUAAAUGCUUGAUCACAGAUUACUACAUGGUAGGCCCAAAAAGCCAUAAAGCCGCUCCCAUACCGGGAGUUGAUAACCAAUGAACAAGAAUUUAAGAAGUUUAUACAUGACUUGGAUGUUUUACUGGACGUGGUGUGUAUACAAGAAAC